AAACAGUUUUCACUUGUUUAGCUGUCCUCUUCUGGAAUUGGGCCCCGAGGACCGGAGAAAAGCCAGGAUGACAGGGCGGAAACGGAACGAACCACAGACCAAGCCCAGAGAGAACGCUGUCUUCUUCUGAAAUUGGGCCCGAGGACCGGAGAAAAGCCAGGACGACAGGGCGGAAACGGAACGAACCACAGACCAAGCCCAGGCAGAACGGUACACUCGAUUUAGUUUCCACGCCGGCGCGCCGGGUGGGCGGGUUUUUAACACAGUGUGGUGUUGGCCUUUCUCUGUCUGUACAUUGAUUUAGAAAAUGUUCUUUGCAUUUUUCUGGCAAUUUCCUAUAAGAGCUUUAGAGCAUCGAAAUACACAUAUCCAAUCUACAGACAACGUUGGAGUUAAACUCAAGUUUGUUGCUACCAUUUCUUUAUAUCUAAAGUGCCAACAACAUUCAUAAAGCUAAACAGAGUAGGCCUGGGCCGAAAAUAGUUGUAUUUUGUAGUUCAGUAGAAAAUAAAAACGUUUAAGAUACUCUAGGUAGUCUAAUAUAGUUUAUAUAGAGUUUCAACUAAAAGCCAACUAUAUUGAACAACAUUAUAAAUGUAAAAUGUAACAUGUAAAAAGUGUUGGUCCCAUGUUUCAUGAGCUGAAAUAAAAGAUCCUAGAAAUG
Molecule: long non-coding RNA, 664 nt
Organism: Oncorhynchus kisutch (coho salmon)
Lineage: Eukaryota; Metazoa; Chordata; Actinopteri; Salmoniformes; Salmonidae
Exons: 2
Source: RefSeq, a predicted model, not a curated record